This 492-nucleotide ribosomal RNA is filed under the name uncultured bacterium. Its description in RNAcentral is "partial 16S ribosomal RNA". It matches the Rfam family "Bacterial small subunit ribosomal RNA", at positions 29 to 507 of the family's 1533-position model. The record is from RNAcentral.
AGUGAACGCUGGCGGUAGGCCUAACACAUGCAAGUCGAACGGCAGCACAGUAAGAGCUUGCUCUUACGGGUGGGGAGUGGCGGAAGGGUGAGGAAUACAUCGGAAUCUACUUUUUCGUGGGGGAUAACGUAGGGAAACUUAAGCUAAUACCGCAUACGACCUACGGGUGAAAGCAGGGGAUCUUCGGACCUUGCGCGAUUGAAUGAGCCGAUGUCGGAUUAGCUAGUUGGCGGGGUAAAGGCCCACCAAGGCGACGAUCCGUAGCUGGUCUGAGAGGAUGAUCAGCCACACUGGAACUGAGACACGGUCCAGACUCCUACGGGAGGCAGCAGUGGGGAAUAUUGGACAAUGGGCGCAAGCCUGAUCCAGCCAUACCGCGUGGGUGAAGAAGGCCUUCGGGUUGUAAAGCCCUUUUGUUGGGAAAGAAAAGCAGCAGGUUAAUACCCCGCUGUUCUGACGGUACCCAAAGAAUAAGCACCGGCUAACUUCGUG